RNAcentral lists this ribosomal RNA (685 nucleotides) under uncultured bacterium. RNAcentral describes it as "bacterial SSU rRNA". It matches the Rfam family "Bacterial small subunit ribosomal RNA", at positions 8 to 666 of the family's 1533-position model. The record is from RNAcentral.
AGGGUUUGAUCCUGGCUCAGAUUGAACGUUGGCGGCAGGCUUUAGACAUGCAAGUCGAGCGGUAACAGAUCGCUAGGAUCCCUUCGGGGUGACUUUGAUGCUGACGAGCGGCGGACGGGUGAGUAACGCGUAGGAAUCUACCCAGUAGCGGGGGAUAGCCCGGGGAAACCCGGAUUAAUACCGCAUACGCCCUACGGGGGAAAGGGGGGGCUCUCUUCGGAGACCUCUCACUAUUGGAGGAGCCUGCGUUGGAUUAGCUUGUUGGUGAGGUAAAGGCUCACCAAGGCUACGAUCCAUAGCUGGUCUGAGAGGACGAUCAGCCACACUGGAACUGAGACACGGUCCAGACUCCUACGGGAGGCAGCAGUCGGGAAUAUUGUGCAAUGGGCGAAAGCCUGACACAGCCAUGCCGCGUGUGUGAAGAAGGCCUUAGGGUUGUAAAGCACUUUCAGUAAGGAAGAAAAAGCCGAGCCAAUAACUCGGUAAUAUGACAUUACUUACAGAAGAAGCACCGGCUAACUCCGUGCCAGCAGCCGCGGUAAUACGGAGGGUGCAAACGUUAAUCGGAAUUACUGGGCGUAAAGCGCGCGUAGGUGGUUUGUUAAGUGGGAUGUGAAAGCCCCAGGCUCAACCUGGGAAUUGCAUUCCAAACUGACGGACUAGAGUACGAUAGAGGGAGGUAGAA